RNA transcript from Archocentrus centrarchus (flier cichlid), 2404 nucleotides. It is a transcript of the gene named FRA10A associated CGG repeat 1, with no coding region annotated. The record is from RefSeq and is a predicted model, not a curated record. Lineage: Eukaryota; Metazoa; Chordata; Actinopteri; Cichliformes; Cichlidae. The transcript has 14 exons.
UUCUACGUCACCACACGGCGACCUGAGUUUGUAAACAUUCAGUUCGUGGGAAAAGCCAUGGACGAUCUUGUAAAGGUUCAUGGGGGCGGCGGUUAUGACUCUGACUUCAGUGAUGAAGAUGGACAGGGAGAGUCCUCAGAGAGAGGCCUUAAAAGGAAACGUGAGGAGGAAAUCUUACAGAAGCCGUUCCAGAAAGGUCGGCACUCCAAGGUGGCUCACCGCAGCUUGCACUCGAGUGAAGUGGACAGAGAAGAAGCACAGAACAGAAGAGCUCACCUGAUAUCGAUGAAUGCUUUCGAGCGGCACAAGAAGUUUGUCGGUGACUACAUACUGUACUAUGGAGGACAGAUGGCUGACUUCAAGCGCUCAGCAGGCAAGGACAAAACAGACCUAGAUGUGCUGCGUGAAAAUCAUCGCUUUCUCUGGAGGGAUGAGGACGAGGAGGACAUGACAUGGGAAAAAGAGUUGGCCAAGAAGUAUUAUGAUAAGCUGUUUAAAGAAUACUGCAUAGCCGACCUCAGCAGAUACAAGGAAAACAAGUUUGGAUUUCGAUGGCGGACAGAGAAGGAAGUUGUUUCUGGCAAAGGUCAGUUUCAGUGUGGAAACAAACGUUGUGAGAAGGAGGAAGGCCUAAAAAGCUGGGAGGUGAAUUUUGCUUACGUGGAGCAUGGGGAGAAGAGAAACGCACUGGUCAAACUGAGACUUUGCCCUGAAUGCUCUUUCAAACUCAACUACCAUCACAAGAGGAAGGAGGUGAAAGCAAAAACAAAGUCUAAAAUGCUGUCGGAGGAGAACCAGAAGCCACCGAAAGAAAAAACAAAGAAGAAAAAGAAAUCAUCUUCACAUUCUAAGAAGCACAAACACAAAAAACACAGAGAUGGCUCCACCUCUUCCAGUAGCUCAGAGGAGUUGCAAAACACGGAUAAAGGUAAUGUCAUGAUGUUCUGAUGCGCCUAGAUGCAGAUGCAGAGAUGCACAUGCCUCAACCUUUCUAGUGAAACUUGGUAUUUUGAGAUUAAGAAAGGUGACCUGCAUGAGCUGGGCAGAGCCAGGGAGAGAUGUGUCCCAACUUUUGACUGGUACUGUGUAUGUUUGAUGAAGGGCUGCUUUAACCCAAAUAGCUGCUUUCGUGCCAUACGAUUCCAUACUUUUUUUUUUUUCGAGCUGUUUGAAUCUGAGUUCAUGAUCUCCUUGGUCAGAGCUCUGAGCUGUGACUCUCCUCCAAACUUGUGGAGUGAGAACACCCUGACACUCCCAUAAGCCCUGUAGUUAAUGCUAUAGACCGACAGCAGGUCAGUUUUUUUUUUUUUUUCUCAGCAGGCUUUUUGUCUCCGUACUUCAUUACCUUUAUUUUUUGCUUUUCCUGGAAGCAGCGUGAAGUGAAGUAUGACUUUGCCCCCUUGUCCUGUUCUGUUUGUUCAACCAAGGUCUGGCUGGAUAAAUGGAUUGGUAGGUGGAGGUGUGCGCUCUGAGGUUAUGUCACUUAGUUCCGCAUGCAAGUCAAUACACAAAACUCUUUCCGCAUCACACACACAGCAAUUAUUGAAGGUGGGAGAUCAUUAAAUUCAGGACUCUGGUGUUUCGUGUAAUGUAUUAGCAAUGCUUUCAUGGAGGGGGUAGAAAUUUUAAUAUCAGGGAAGCACUUUGUGUCCUAGAAACUUCAUAUUGAUGCCAGGGAAAAUGAAUGGAAAAAUAUGCUGCUUUGGCCCAGUAUAGCAUCACAUAAUUAGUGGCUUAUGCUGAUAACAUAUUUAUCUACUACAACCUGCCAAAACUUGUCUCUGAAUAAAUUUGUGAAGAGAAAUAGGCCAUGAGCUUGUAGAAUAACUCCUAAUUCCUUUUUCGCAAGGUUUAGAGUUUGCUUCCUAAACAUUAGCCGGUUGACCAAAACUCAGUGACAAAUUAAAGGUACAGUCAGUUGUUUGUUUUUUUAAGAGGUUAUUUAAGAAAAAAAAUUGUACUCAUAAAUAUACAUUGAUUAGUGUGUAAUUAUGUCUGCCAACAAAUUGAUGCAUUCUCAUAAACUUAGAAUUAAUCCAUUUAAAAUACAUAGGAGUGGGCGGUGGUUUGUGGAAGCCGCCAUGUUGGGAUAGGCUGGAGCUUAUCCCAGCUGCCAUAGUGGGAGAGGAAAGGUACACCCCGGACAGGUUGCCAGUCUGUCGCAGGGCUAACGGGGGGGGGAGUGGAGAAUCAGUGCCAAGCACUGUGUCUGUGUAGAUUCAUCCAGAUCAAGGUUUCUUCUUUAAUUUGUCGCCUCUCUAACAGAGACUCUGAAGCUGGGGACGAGCCAGAGGACCAAUCAGAAGGCGACCACUGGCGAGGACCCGCCCCUGCAGUGGAGGAAAAGUCGAGGGAGGAGGAGUUUGAUGAGUACUUUGAAGACAUGUUUCUUUGAAUCCGCUGG